Molecule: long non-coding RNA, 994 nt
Organism: Oncorhynchus keta (chum salmon)
Lineage: Eukaryota; Metazoa; Chordata; Actinopteri; Salmoniformes; Salmonidae
Exons: 3
Source: RefSeq, a predicted model, not a curated record
AUCAAGAAUGGUCCACCAUCCGAAAGGACAUCCCGCCAACUUGACACAACUGUGGGAGGUCUUGGAGUCAACAUGGGCCAGCAUCCCUGUGGAACGCUUUAGACACCUUGUAGAGUUAAUGCCCUGACGACGUGUACAUGGCCUCUCAAAGUCUCUUAAUCCUAGGAGUACGAGAGCCAGUCGAGCGCUGAUGCUAAACUUGUGAGAGUUUGACCUGCUAGAGAGGAUUCUGCCGGCCCAUGAGUACAAGAUGCUGGAGGAGAAACCAGGCAGGCUACAAUAAUUAUUUGAUUUCACACAAGAUUGUCCGGUUUAUGAAGAGUCUGAACGAAGAGAGCUGGCCACAUGGAAGCUGGAGGUGAUGGGUUGUCUAGAUCAGAGACCAAGAAACCAAGAACAGGCUCCUCCUUGUGACUUCAACAUUUUCACUGAAUGAUGCUACACUCAGCAUGUGUCCAUAAUGUUGUGGUAGCCACUGUUCCUCACAGGAAAAUGCAGGAUUUCUGGUUCGGGAGCUGUGGAAUAAUGAAGCAAAAGCUGGGCUAUCGUUGAAAACAAAACGUGCGCCCUGUUUUACUCCUACAGUGCUCAUUUUAUUCUACAUAGAAGUUGGGAAAGAUUGAGUCAUUUUUUUUAAAUGAACGUUUAUGAAUGUGCACAUUUCACCUGUAUGAUUCACGUGACUUGGGAAUGGGAAGCUGUUUGUCACGUUUAAAAAUGUGUUUGGGCUGUUUUAAUACAAUGUAUGUGUGCUUGAGUGUUUUAUUAGAGUAGUACCACAUCAUUUAACAUAUAUUAUAUAUUUCAAUGUAAUACCAUAUUUUAAGACACUGGACCUUUAGGUUGGUUUGCAAAAAAAUAUUUAAUAAUGAUACUGCAGUAAACACAGUAUAUUCACAGCAGUUUUUUCGGCAGUGUUUGAUGUGGAACUGUGUUAGAGCGGUCAAAUCCACAGGCGACUCCUGGCAUUAUACCUACAGCGGACAUGCAUGGC